GCCAGCAUGGUGCAGUGGUUGGAGUUUUGGAUUACAACUCUAGAGACCAGGGUUCGAUUCCUUGCUUGGCC
Non-coding RNA from Phrynosoma platyrhinos (Desert horned lizard), 71 nucleotides. The record is from the annotation of a GenBank genome assembly. NCBI's taxonomy places the organism in Eukaryota, Metazoa, Chordata, Lepidosauria, Squamata, Phrynosomatidae.